This 253-nucleotide ribosomal RNA is filed under the name uncultured bacterium. RNAcentral describes it as "partial 16S ribosomal RNA". It matches the Rfam family "Bacterial small subunit ribosomal RNA", at positions 524 to 776 of the family's 1533-position model. The record is from RNAcentral.
UACGUAGGUGGCGAGCGUUGUCCGGAUUUACUGGGCGUAAAGAGCGCGCAGGCGGUCGUUCAAGUCGCGUGUGAAAGCCCCGGGCUCAACCUGGGAAUGGCAUUGGAAACUGGCGGGCUUGAGUGUGGCAGAGGGGGGUGGAAUUCCGCGUGUAGCAGUGAAAUGCGUAGAGAUGCGGAGGAACACCGAUGGCGAAGGCAGCCCCCUGGGCUGACACUGACGCUCAGGCACGAAAGCGUGGGGAGCAAACAGG